This 221-nucleotide ribosomal RNA is filed under the name Bicosoecida sp. CB-2014. Its description in RNAcentral is "partial Bacterial small subunit ribosomal RNA". It matches the Rfam family "Bacterial small subunit ribosomal RNA", at positions 11 to 226 of the family's 1533-position model. Lineage: Eukaryota; Bigyra; Bicosoecida. The record is from RNAcentral.
GUUUGAUCCUGGCUCAGGACGAACGCUGGCGGCGGGCUUAACACAUGCAAGUCGAAGGAGAAGGAAAGAGCUUGCUCUUUCUGGAGACUGGCGGACGGGUGAGUAACGCGUAGCUAACCUGCCUUUAACUGGGGGAUAACAUUCCGAAAGGGGUGCUAAUACCGCAUAAAGCAACUGAGUCGCAUGACUCUAGUUGUUAAAGGUUUCGACCGGUUAAAGAG